RNAcentral lists this ribosomal RNA (555 nucleotides) under uncultured bacterium. Its description in RNAcentral is "partial 16S ribosomal RNA". The record is from RNAcentral.
GGAGUUAGCCGGUGCUUCUUCUGUGAGUGAUGUCCUUCCUGCCGGCUAUUAACCCGCAGGCCUUCUUCCUCACUGAAAGUGCUUUACAACCCGAAGGCCUUCUUCACACACGCGGCAUGGCUGGAUCAGGGUUGCCCCCAUUGUCCAAUAUUCCCCACUGCUGCCUCCCGUAGGAGUCUGGGCCGUGUCUCAGUCCCAGUGUGGCUGAUCAUCCUCUCAGACCAGCUACGGAUCGUCGCCUUGGUGAGCCGUUACCUCACCAACCAGCUAAUCCGACAUAGGCUCAUCCGAUAGCGCGAGGCCCGAAGGUCCCCCGCUUUCCCCCGUAGGGCGUAUGCGGUAUUAGCCUGGGUUUCCCCAGGUUAUCCCCCACUACCGGGCAGAUUCCUAUGCAUUACUCACCCGUCCGCCGCUCGCCACCAGGGAGCAAGCUCCCCGUGCUGCCGCUCGACUUGCAUGUGUUAGGCCUGCCGCCAGCGUUCAAUCUGAGCCAGUGACUAACAACUCGUACGUACGUAGACGGGCGGGUCGUCGGACGAACGGGCCGACUAGUAG